This 503-nucleotide ribosomal RNA is filed under the name uncultured bacterium. RNAcentral describes it as "partial 16S ribosomal RNA". It matches the Rfam family "Bacterial small subunit ribosomal RNA", at positions 30 to 523 of the family's 1533-position model. The record is from RNAcentral.
AUUGAACGCUGGCGGCAGGCCUAACACAUGCAAGUCGAACGGUAGCACAGAGAGCUUGCUCUCGGGUGACGAGUGGCGGACGGGUGAGUAACGUCUGGGAAACUGCCCGAUGGAGGGGGAUAACUACUGGAAACGGUAGCUAAUACCGCAUAAUGUCGCAAGACCAAAGAGGGGGACCUUCGGGCCUCUUGCCAUCGGAUGUGCCCAGAUGGGAUUAGCUUGUUGGUGAGGUAAAGGCUCACCAAGGCGACGAUCCCUAGCUGGUCUGAGAGGAUGACCAGCCACACUGGAACUGGGACACGGUCCAGACUCCUACGGGGGCAGCAGUGGGGAAUAUUGCACAAUGGGCGCAAGCCUGAUGCAGCCAUGCCGCGUGUGUGAAGAAGGCCUUCGGGUUGUAAAGCACUUUCAGCGGGGAGGAAGGCGGUGAGUUUAAUAAGCUCACCGAUUGACGUUACCCGCAGAAGAAGCACCGGCUAACUCCGUGCCAGCCGCCGCGGUAA